This 223-nucleotide ribosomal RNA is filed under the name uncultured bacterium. RNAcentral describes it as "partial 16S ribosomal RNA". It matches the Rfam family "Bacterial small subunit ribosomal RNA", at positions 111 to 334 of the family's 1533-position model. The record is from RNAcentral.
UAACGCGUGGGUAACCUGCCUUAUACUGGGGGAUAACAGCCAGAAAUGGCUGCUAAUACCGCAUAAGCGCACAGGACCGCAUGGUCCAGUGUGAAAAACUCCGGUGGUAUAAGAUGGACCCGCGUUGGAUUAGCUAGUUGGCAGGGCAGCGGCCUACCAAGGCGACGAUCCAUAGCCGGCCUGAGAGGGUGAACGGCCACAUUGGGACUGAGACACGGCCCAG